CUGUCUUAGAAAACACAAUUACCUGUUACAUCUAUUCUUGAUACAAUCUUUUGUGAUUUAAGACUUGCCUAUAAUCACCGUCUCCUUCACUUCUAUUCUCUCCUUGACCCAUUCAUAUCUACUCUACUGAGAAUGUGCGUGUCAAGAUUAUGACUGAUGCUCAAAGCCAAUAUUCCUGCUGUUAUUCAACUUAACCUCUCUGUAGCAUCUGACACUCCCUCCUUCUUGAAAUUUUCAGCUUUUGGUUUCUCCAACAUCACCAUCUACUGGUUUCCUCCCACCUCACUGGCUGUUCCUGCUCAGUCACAUCUGCCAGAUCCUUUCUCCUAGAGUUCCCAGGGCACUAGGUGUACUCCUCUUCCCAGUGUACACAAUUUCCCCAGUUAUCUUAGAAAGUCCAAUGGUUUCAAAACAUUUGUUCUCUGCUGCUUAAUCAUAAACCUACACCUGUAGCCCUGUCUUCUUCCUGGAAUGCCAGUCAUAUAUUUGAUUGCAAAUUUGAUAUCUCCAAUUGGCUAAUAGGUAUCUUAAACUUAAAAUGGACAAAAUAGAACUCUCGAUUUUUCUCAAAAACCUGCUUUCCCCCCAGUUUUCACUGUUUCUGUAAAGGCACCAUCCACCCUAGCAUUAAUGGCAAAAUCUACAGCACAAGUAAAUGAACCAUACCUCCAAAACAUAGCCUAAACCCUUCCACUUCUGUUUCCCCGUUAUUAGCACCCUAAUUCAAGUCACUACCAACUACACUACUGCAAUAGUCUCCUAACUAGUCUUACUCCCAUUCUCCUUCGCUCAACCCACACACAACCAAUUCUUUAUGCCUGAAGUGCAUUACCGUGCCUGUUUAAAAUCCUCUAACAGCCUCCCAUCGUGCUGAUAAAACCCAAGCUCCUGUCUACCUAUCUGAUCUCAAUCUUACCCUUCUUUCCCGACUGCCUGCCCCCCACACCCCACACACAUGGCUGAGUGCCCUUUGAUUUCUCAAUACAAACACUAUGUCAGUUUCACUGGUCUUCUUUCUGCUUUUUAAUACCCAACUCAUUCCCACCGUAGGACUAUUCCCUCUGCUUAGAAUGUGCUUCCUAUGAUCUUUUUAUGGCUGGCUUU
This 1104-nucleotide long non-coding RNA is filed under the name Homo sapiens (human). RNAcentral's name for it is "HSALNT0196012". The record is from RNAcentral. Lineage: Eukaryota; Metazoa; Chordata; Mammalia; Primates; Hominidae.